Molecule: long non-coding RNA, 1406 nt
Organism: Anas platyrhynchos (mallard)
Lineage: Eukaryota; Metazoa; Chordata; Aves; Anseriformes; Anatidae
Source: RefSeq, a predicted model, not a curated record
GUUGCAGUGAUGAAAACACAGCACAGCUGGCUGAGUCACAAGGCUAUAAGAGGGACACGGGAGCAUCACCUAGGGCUUUGUCCCCACUCUUGGGGUUGACUGCACAUGGUGUUGUCUUCCAGCACAGCUCCCAGUGAAAUCAGCUGGAUUUCUACUACAUUCAACGCUCAUAAAAGCAGCUGAGUCAGACCGGAUACGCCAGAUCAUGAUUGCUUCAUCUGUCACUGGGAUAUCAUGAAAUACCACAUUAGUGCUGCACAAUGCAUGCUAACCCACUUCCAGAUGGUGCACGAUGGUCAGAGGAUAAUGGUUUGAGCUCUCUUUGGCUGGCCUUGGUGAUGCUCCUGCACUCACGUGGCAAAUCUGCAAUUUGUUUCUUCAUGGAAGAGCUGCAGUGAAAAAGGAGACCAAGGCAGGCUGCCAGCCCAAGGAGAUGCCAGCAUGGCCAGAACUCAGUUGCCAACUGAGUGUAAGUGAUCCCAGCUGCAAAAUACACUGGAAAUCUCCUAUGGCACCAAAUGCUCAACAAACAACAAGGCUGGGUUCAGAAAUGCUGUACAGGGCUAAAGGGACCAAGAGGGAGCCCUCAGGGAUGAUGUACUUUGGCCUCAAAGUACAUUGUGAUCAUGCAGGCUGUUAAAUCUUCAUUUUAAAGUAGCUCCCAGAGAUAGAAAAUUCCAUUUCCUCUUUGAAAUAUUUUCUUUGCUACCAGUAAGAUGGAGCCAGACUAGUUAGAUUUUCCUGUUGACAGUCUGUGCCUUUUCCUGCAUUGCUUAAAGCACAAAUACUUCAUCUUAAAUGUUUGCUCCUAAAAAUGGUGCGUGUCUAUACAAGUGGAAAGCAGGUGACUAAAUGUUCUAGGACAUGUGGCAUGGUGACAGUGUAAACCAGACGCCGUAAUCCCCAAUUUGCUUAUCCUCAUGGGUAUUUAAUAUAAGCAAUUUGAGAUCCUGAAAUGUGCCAGCUGUAAGCAUGAGUCCCUUACGGCUCUAAAAUGCGGAUUUAUGAUGCUUUUGUGUUUUCUUCCUGUAUUAUACCACCCAGGUGUAUAAAUGCUGUCCUUGCUGGCUGCUCUUUCAGUAUGCUGAUAUUGUUAACCUGUUUGCUCUUUGGCUGAAGAUAAACCACAGCAGACAAAUAUGAUUAUACGUAUGUGUUUGGAUUCCUGAGCACGUGAAAUUGCUGAUAAAUUGCAGCCAGCCUGCACAGAGGCACAGCUACAGCACAGCACAGCACAUCCAUUUCACAGCUUGAGGAUACCAAAAUCCUGCCUCCCACAGGGAAGAGACCAAAACCAUCCUGCAGCUCUGCACCUCUCAAACCUUCUGGAGAAAUCAGGGGUCAAAACUGCACGUUGAGAAAACAUCUUGGUUAGAAAAGGAGAAAUAAAAUGGUGCUAAAAACAU